This 1314-nucleotide ribosomal RNA is filed under the name Pacris xizangensis. RNAcentral describes it as "16S ribosomal RNA". The stretch from base 877 to 1238 matches the Rfam family "Archaeal large subunit ribosomal RNA", at positions 2150 to 2716 of the family's 2987-position model. Lineage: Eukaryota; Metazoa; Arthropoda; Insecta; Orthoptera; Acrididae. The record is from RNAcentral.
UAUUAAUUGUAUUAUUUUUUAUUAUUGUUUAUUUUAUUAUUUAAUAGAAAUAACUUUAUUUUAUUAUAGUCUUAGUAUAUUUUAAGGAAUUGAUUUAUAAUAUAAUAGUUUAUUAGUAAUGAAAUUGGAUUAUGAAAUAUUAAUUUAAGUUAGUAAAAGUAGAUUUUAUUUAUUGUACCUUUUGUAUCAGGGUUUAUUAAAAUUUUAGUAUUUAUUUACUAUUCUCGAUUUAGGCCGAUUUACAAAUAAGUUUUAUUUAAUGUAUUAUAAUUAUUAGAAACUUAUUUGUAGAAAUGAAAUGUUAAUCGUUUCCUAAAAUAUCUAGUUUCUUAAGAGAAAAUUCAAUUUUUUAGAUUUAGUGUUUUUAUUUAAUUCUUUAAUUAAAAAUAUUAAUUUAUUUAUAUUUUAGGGGAUAAGCUCUAAAAUAGAUAUCCUAUAAUUUGUUUAAUUUGAAAUAUAAAAGUAAGCUUUAAAUCAGCUAUUUUUAAGAUUACGUUUUAGUUCAUUUUUAUUAAAUUUGAUUUUAUAACUGUUUUAGGUUUUUUAUUAAGAUGAUGAAUUUAAUAUUAGAUUUCUUGAAAUAAUGAUGGAAUUAGUAUAUUUAUUUUGUUUAUAAUGAUUUUAAUUGUUAAUUUAUUAAAAGGAAUUAGGCAAAUUAAUUUCCGCCUGUUUAUCAAAAACAUGUCCUCUUGAUAAUAUUAUGAGGUCUGGUCUGCUCACUGAGGAUUUUUAAAGAGCCGCGGUAUUUUGACCGUGCAAAGGUAGCAUAAUCAUUAGUCUUUUAAUUGAAGGCUGGAAUGAAUGGCUUGACGAGAAAUUAACUGUCUCUUAAUAAAUUUUAGAAUUUAACUUUUGAGUUAAAAGGCUUAAAUUUUUCUUUAGGACGAGAAGACCCUAUAGAGCUUAACAUUUAAAUUAUAUAUCUUUUUAAGUUAGUCUUUUAUAUUUAAUGGUUAUGUUUUGUUGGGGUGACAUGAAGAAUUAAUAAACUCUUCAUUAUAAAAUCAUUGAUUUAUGUUUAUUUUGAUCCAUAAUUUAUGAUCAUAGGAUUUAGUUACCUUAGGGAUAACAGCGUAAUUGUUUUUGAGAGCUCAUAUUGACAAAGCAGAUUGCGACCUCGAUGUUGGAUUAAGAAAAAUUUUGGGUGUAGUAAUUCAAUAAUUAGGUCUGUUCGACCUUUAAAUUCUUACAUGAUCUGAGUUCAGACCGGCGUAAGCCAGGUCGGUUUCUAUCCUAAGAUUUUAGAAAUUUAUAUUAGUACGAAAGGACCAUAUAGAUGAAAUAUUUUUUGUUCUCUGACUAAAAUUAAUUAUC